AACCUCCGCAAUGUGAGAAAUCGCGACGGGGGGAUCCCAAGUGCCAUUCUUAACGGGAUGGCUUUUCAUUAGUGUAAAGAGCUUUUGGAAUAAGAGCUGGGCAAGACCGGUGCCAGCCGCCGCGGUAACACCGGCAGCUCUAGUGGUAGCAAUUUUUAUUGGGCCUAAAGCGUCCGUAGCCGGUUUAAUAAGUCUCUGGUGAAAUCCUGUAGCUUAACUGUGGGAAUUGCUGGAGAUACUAUUAGACUUGAGACCGGGAGAGGUUAGAGGUACUCCCAGGGUAGAGGUGAAAUUCUGUAAUCCUGGGAGGACCGCCUGUUGCGAAGGCGUCUAACUGGAACGGUUCUGACGGUGAGGACGAAAGUUAGGGGCGCGAACCGGAUUAGAUACCCGGGUAGUCCUAACUGUAAACGAUGCGGACUUGGUGUUGGGGUGGCUUUGAGCUGCUCCAGUGCCGAAGGGAAGCUGUAAGUCCGCCGCCUGGGAAGUACGGUCGCAAGACUGAAACUUAAAGGAAUU
This 519-nucleotide ribosomal RNA is filed under the name uncultured bacterium. Its description in RNAcentral is "bacterial SSU rRNA". It matches the Rfam family "Archaeal small subunit ribosomal RNA", at positions 345 to 866 of the family's 1478-position model. The record is from RNAcentral.